GACGAACCGUGCGAACGUUGUUCGGAAUCACUGGGCUUAAAGGGCGCGUAGGCGGUUCAUCAAGUCAGGGGUGAAAUCUUUCGGCUCAACCGGAAAAGUGCCCCUGAUACUGAUGAUCUCGAGGGAGGUAGGGGUCCGCGGAACUUCUGGUGGAGCGGUGAAAUGCGUUGAUAUCAGAAGGAACGCCGGUGGCGAAAGCGGCGGACUGGAUCUCUUCUGACGCUGAGGCGCGAAAGCCAGGGGAGCAAACGGG
This 253-nucleotide ribosomal RNA is filed under the name Gemmataceae bacterium. RNAcentral's name for it is "partial 16S ribosomal RNA". It matches the Rfam family "Bacterial small subunit ribosomal RNA", at positions 524 to 776 of the family's 1533-position model. The record is from RNAcentral. RNAcentral also lists the same sequence under 1 other name. Lineage: Bacteria; Pseudomonadati; Planctomycetota; Planctomycetia; Gemmatales; Gemmataceae.